Long non-coding RNA from Xiphophorus couchianus (Monterrey platyfish), 391 nucleotides. RefSeq lists it as uncharacterized. NCBI's taxonomy places the organism in Eukaryota, Metazoa, Chordata, Actinopteri, Cyprinodontiformes, Poeciliidae. The transcript is spliced from 2 exons. The record is from RefSeq and is a predicted model, not a curated record.
GGAAGUUUGUUCCAGAUUUGUGGAAGCUGAAUGCUGCUUCUGGUUCUGGAUGGAGACCAGAACCAGAACCAGAACCUGAACCUGGUCGGUGUGGCCGGCUGACCCAGCAGCAGCAGAUCUUCAUCUCCUGCUAUUUUUAGUUCGGCGCUCCGCCCGGUUCUGGAGGAAAACACCAGGAAGAUGCUGCUGCAUAUUAAUAUCAGCGUCCUGGCAGCGAGCGGCGGACCGGGAGGUCAGCGGGUCAAGUUACAUGAGCAGAAACAAAAGAGUGAGAGCAGCGAGUCGGAUCGCUGACGGCGGCGCCCCGCCUCACUGAGGACAUCUGCUGGCGGAACAUGAGAAUGCAGCUCAGAUAUUUAGGAUUUUAAAUCCAUGUUGAACAUCUAACAAC